CAACAGCGUUCCCGAAAGCUGAGGAACCAUCCUGAGGAACACCUAUUGAAACAGAGUCAUGCAGUUACCUUAAUGUGCUGCCUUUGAAUCAAAGGGCACUUUGGAAGAGGGGAAUGCUCUUUGAGUUGGGAUUGACUGACAUCAGAGCUGCAGUGGGAUACACGACAUGUCACGUAGGUUUGGAGGCUUUGGAGGAACUGUGUGAAUGCCAUGAGUUUCCAGAGAGGGGAAACCAUUGUCCCUGCUCCUCUUGGGCCAUGCACAGGUCAGGGUCAGGGAAAUCCUGCCCAGGGAGCCACUUCUUUCCCUCUUUAUUUUAAAACCUUGGCCCCACUUGUAGAACUCCAUUUUGCUAAGAGAAGAUGCAUUUCAGAAAUAGCUUGAGAAUCUAUGUUGGUCUUUUUGUUGUUUUUCUCUUUUUCUGAUUAUAAAAGAGAAAUGUUUCUUUCGACACAGAGACUUGCAAUGAAUGUUCAUAGUAGCAUUAUUCCUAACAGCACAAACCCGUAAACAACCCACUUGUCCAUUGACAAGCAAAAUGUGGUGUGUCCACACCAUCUAACAAUGCAGAGUACAGAAGGCGGAUAUACAUUACCACAUGAGUGAACCUCAAAAACAUUAUCAAGCGAAGAAGCCAGUACAAAAGACCACAUGCUGCUUAAUUCCAUUUAUGUAAAAUUUCAGGAAAUCUACUCAGAAAGAAGAUCCAUGGUGGCUGGAGAUGGAGAUGGGAAUGAAGGGCGCCUGCAAAGGACCACAGGGGUGAUUUUGGAGGUUAUGGAAAUUGCUUUAAAAUUGGAAAUUGUUCUAAAAACUGUGGUGAUGGCUGCACAACUCUAUAAAAGUCCUAAGGCGUAUUGUACAUCUUACAUAGGAUGUGUUAUCUCCAUAAAGAUAAAGAAAUAUCGAACAACCACUGAACAAGGAACCCCUAUACCUCGGUGGAAGCAAAGAAAAAGAAAAUGGGACAGGAAUGACAGACAACCUAACUGGUAUUUUUUUGAUUAGUGGUUUCUCCAUAUUUAAAAAGAAAAAAAAAAAAA
Molecule: long non-coding RNA, 1043 nt
Organism: Canis lupus familiaris (dog)
Lineage: Eukaryota; Metazoa; Chordata; Mammalia; Carnivora; Canidae
Exons: 2
Source: RefSeq, a predicted model, not a curated record